AUCAUGAUGACCUGAUGUCAGUGUCCACACACGCCUUAUAUCAGCUGUGUGUGUGUGUCCAGUCGUCUGGGGGACUGCAGAUCCUUGCUUGGGCCGGCACGUGGAUGUCUACGAUGUACGGGCAACUGAGGCCCAGAGAGGGGCUGCCCCUUGCCCAAGGUGGCACAGCCUGGACAGCAGCAGAGCUGGAAUUCUGCCCGAGGCCUUUCCCCAUCUCCUUCCCUGCAAGGAUUGGCCCGAAAAGCGCUCCGAGUUCUGCCCGCUGAGCUUCCCGAGGCCACCAGCAGGGGGCAGCAGACUCCAGGACCCUCCCCUCCGUGAGGGCAGGCUGGCGCUCAGCUCCCGUGGCCUCCCACACCCCCUACCUCUGGGCAGCUGGGACCCCGCCUGCACCCCCAGGCUGGAACCUCCACUGCCGAAAUGCAGAGGCCCCAGAAAUAAGGAGCUCUUCGUAAAUAGAACCGACGUCCCCACAAAUGC
Long non-coding RNA from Panthera uncia (snow leopard), 480 nucleotides. RefSeq lists it as uncharacterized. The transcript is spliced from 2 exons. NCBI's taxonomy places the organism in Eukaryota, Metazoa, Chordata, Mammalia, Carnivora, Felidae. The record is from RefSeq and is a predicted model, not a curated record.